GUGAAUCAUCGAAUUUUUGAACGCACAUUGCACUCUCUGGUAUUCCGGAGAGUAUGCCUGUUUGAGGGUAAUUAAAAAUAAUCUUCAACCAAUUUUAUUUGGUCACAGGAAAUGAGUUCUCCGCGUUUAUAGCGGUAGCUUGAAAUAAAUGGUCAAGUAUCAUUUUAGUCGAGACGCGUAAUACUAUUGUUUCGCGAAGUCUUAAUUAGGUGACUAUCAAGUUUUUAUGCAUACAAAUUCGCUUUGUAUGCGAUCAAUA
This 259-nucleotide unclassified non-coding RNA is filed under the name Ambisporaceae sp. RNAcentral's name for it is "partial contains 5.8S ribosomal RNA and internal transcribed spacer 2". The stretch from base 1 to 71 matches the Rfam family "5.8S ribosomal RNA", at positions 84 to 154 of the family's 154-position model. The record is from RNAcentral. Lineage: Eukaryota; Fungi; Glomeromycota; Glomeromycetes; Archaeosporales; Ambisporaceae.